UACUGCUCAGUAACACGUAGCUAACCUACCCUUAAGUCGAGGAUACUCUCGGGAAACUGAGGUUAAUACUCGAUAGGAGAUGUACCCUGGAAUGAUUCAUCUCUCAAAUUCGUGCUUAAGGAUGGGGCUGCGGCGGAUUAGGUUGUUGGCGGGGUAAAGGCCCACCAAGCCAAUGAUCCGUAAGGGCUCUUAGCGGAGAGGCCCUGAGAGGGAAUCUGAGACACUAUUCCCAGCCCUACGGGGUGCAGCAGUUAGGAAUUUUCUGCAAUGUACGAAAGUAUGACAGAUUGAGUCAGAGUGCUUUUCAUAUGAAAAGCUUUUGCCAAAUGUAAAAAGUUUGGCGAAUAAGGACUGGGUAAGACGAGUGCCAGCAGCCGCGGUAAUACAAUAA
This 391-nucleotide ribosomal RNA is filed under the name uncultured archaeon. RNAcentral describes it as "bacterial SSU rRNA". It matches the Rfam family "Archaeal small subunit ribosomal RNA", at positions 84 to 481 of the family's 1478-position model. The record is from RNAcentral.